AUGUUCGCGAUAAUGUCAAUGGAGACAGAGGGGCACGGCAGGGAGUUCGGCCGCCGGCAGAAGAUGCGAGCCAAAUGUACGGUCGAGUUUGUCUGCAAGUACUGCCAGCGGCGCUUCACCAAGCCCUACAACCUCAUGAUACACGAGCGCAGCCACAAGGCCGACGUGACCUUCACCUGCGAGGUCUGCGGCAAGUCCUUUAAACGCCAGGACAACCUCAAACAGCACAGAUGUGGGUGGCGGUGAGCGGGAGCUGGCUCUCGGGACCUACUCCUGCCUUCUCACGCGCAUUGUAUCUCACUCACCCACAGUUUUUACACACUUUAAACACAUACCCACGAGCAUACACUCCGUUCCCUUCAAGGGCUCCAAAGGCUACUCGAACGGCUAC
RNAcentral lists this unclassified non-coding RNA (391 nucleotides) under Copidosoma floridanum. RNAcentral describes it as "protein drumstick-like, transcript variant X2". Lineage: Eukaryota; Metazoa; Arthropoda; Insecta; Hymenoptera; Encyrtidae. The record is from RNAcentral.